CGAAGUAAUUAGCAUCCUCCUCUGUCAUUGGCUCUCUGCGCCUCUGCUUUGCAUACGCCCGCCUGCUGGCGGCUGGGCUGCACUGGGCUCCGCGGCGUUUGCAGCCGGCCCGGCAGCCGCCAGGCUCAGUGCGGGGCGAGCGUGAUCCGGCGCUGGAGCCAGAGCCAGCGGCCCAGGGUCGGCGGAGUCUACGCCCUGUGCACCCGAGGACCGGCGUCCGGGCCUCGGCGCCCAUCCCGGCCAGGGAGCGGCCAGGCAGACACUUCUGAUUUCGGAUGAAAGGGGUGAGUCCGGGCGUGAGCCUCCCUCCUGGCCUGGCUCACCGAGCCUCUUGGCGCCCCAGCUCCGGCCCGGGCUCUGGAAAAUGACUUCACGCUCUCCCCGUUGCCAUCCGGCGGCGGCGGCGCGCUGGGGCAGCCCUGAGUGGUAACCUCGGGAGGCAGCGCCUGGGGCCGAGUGAGCCGAGGCGGGAAUCCCGCCUCUCGCCGGCCUCCUCCCCCGGCUCCCCGGCGGCCGCAGCAUGAAGUGGCGCAGCGAUGGCCAGGAGCGGUAAGAAGCCCGUGGUGCGCACGCUGGAGGACCUGACGCUGGACUCGGGUUAUGGUGGCGCCGCGGACUCGGUGCGCUCCUCCAGCUUGUCCCUGUGCUGCUCCGACUCGCACCCGGCGUCCCCGUAUGGCGGGAGCGGCUGGCCGCCCCUAGCCGACUCCAUGCACAGCCGGCACGACAGCUUUGACACCGUCAACACUGCCCUGGUGGAGGACUCCGAGGGGCUGGACUGCACCGGCCAGCACUGCCCGCGGCUGCUGCCGGACCUCGACGAGGUACCCUGGACGCUGCAGGAGCUCGAGGCGCUGCUGCUGCGCGCCCGUGACCCCCGCAUCUGCCUCCCGGCCCCCGGCGGGCUCCCCCGGGACGCGCUGGCCCGGCUGUCGGUGCUGGUGAGCCGCGCGCUCGUGCGCAUCGCCAAGGAGGCGCAGCGCCUGAGCCUGCGCUUCGCCAAGUGCACCAAGUACGAGAUCCAGAGCGCCAUGGAAAUCGUGCUGUCCUGGGGGCUGGCGGCGCACUGCUCCGCCGCCGCGCUGGCCGCGCUGUCACUCUACAACAUGAGUAGCGCGGGCGGCGACCGCCUGGGCCGCGGCAAGUCGGCGCGCUGCGGCCUCACCUUCUCCGUGGGCCGCGUGUACCGCUGGAUGGUGGACAGCCGCGUGGCGCUGCGCAUUCACGAGCACGCCGCCAUUUACCUGACGGCCUGCAUGGAGAGCCUGUUCCGGGACGUCUACGCGCGUGUCGUGGCCUCGGGGCUACCCCGGGGUUGUGGCGGCCCGGGCUCCGGUUCUAGCUGUGUUCCCGGCCCCGGCCCAAGCGCAGCGCCCUCUGCGGACGCGGAGCGCGAGGCGGCCGGAGGGGGCGCGGCGGGAGGGGGCGCUAGCAGCGCCCCCAGCAGCACAAGUGGGGGCAGCAGCUGCUGUGCCCCGCCGGCCCCGGCCACCGCCGCAGCCCAGCCGGCCGCCGCGCGCCGCCAACCACGGCCACGCGCACCACGCGCUGCACGAGGCGCCACGGUUCACGCUGGAGACGCUGGAACACACGGUCAACAACGACUCGGAGAUCUGGGGGCUGCUGCAGCCCUACCAGCACCUCAUCUGCGGGAAGAACGCCAGCGGGGUGCUAAGCCUGCCCGACAGCCUGAACCUGCAUCGCGAGCCGCAGCGCACAGCCAAGCCGGGGGAGCUGCCCGUGUUCAGCCAGUCGGAGCUGCGGACCAUCGAGCAGUCCUUGCUGGCCACGCGCGUGGGCAGCAUUGCCGAGCUCAGUGACCUGGUUUCGCGCGCCAUGCACCACCUGCAGCCGCUGCACGCCACGCAGCACGGCAACGGCACCCCCCUGCACCGCCGGCAGGGCGCGCUCUACUGGGAGCCAGAGGCGCUGUACACGCUCUGCUACUUCAUGCACUGCCCGCAGAUGGAGUGGGAGAACCCCAACGUGGAGCCGUCCAAGGUCAGCCUGCAGGUGGAGAGGUAAGCGCGCAGCUCGCCUCUGCCUGGGGCGACUGGGCCCUGACGUGCCCGAGGUGUCCUGGUCAGCGGGUCCGCAGAGGCCGCGCCAGGUCUUGUAAAGAGUCCGGGUCGGAGGAGCCAGGGCCUCCAGAGCCCUGCGGCUUCCUUGAGCUGAUGGCAGCCCGGGGUGCCACGU
This is a long non-coding RNA of Cavia porcellus (domestic guinea pig), 2196 nucleotides long. NCBI's taxonomy places the organism in Eukaryota, Metazoa, Chordata, Mammalia, Rodentia, Caviidae. The record is from Ensembl.